This 976-nucleotide ribosomal RNA is filed under the name uncultured bacterium. RNAcentral's name for it is "bacterial SSU rRNA". It matches the Rfam family "Bacterial small subunit ribosomal RNA", at positions 338 to 1328 of the family's 1533-position model. The record is from RNAcentral.
CCUACGGGAGGCAGCAGUGGGGAAUAUUGCACAAUGGGCGAAAGCCUGAUGCAGCGACGCCGCGUGAGGGAUGACGGCCUUCGGGUUGUAAACCUCUUUCAGCAGGGAAGAAGCGAAAGUGACGGUACCUGCAGAAGAAGCGCCGGCUAACUACGUGCCAGCAGCCGCGGUAAUACGUAGGGCGCAAGCGUUGUCCGGAAUUAUUGGGCGUAAAGAGCUCGUAGGCGGCUUGUCACGUCGGGUGUGAAAGCCCGGGGCUUAACCCCGGGUCUGCAUUCGAUACGGGCUAGCUAGAGUGUGGUAGGGGAGACUGGAAUUCCUGGUGUAGCGGUGAAAUGCGCAGAUAUCAGGAGGAACACCGGUGGCGAAGGCGGGUCUCUGGGCCAAUACUGACGCUGAGACGCGAGAGCUAGGGGAGCGAACAGGAUUAGAUACCCUGGUAGUCCACGCCGUAAACGAUGAACACUAGGUGUGGGCGGAGUCGAAUCUGUCUGUGCCGAAGCCAACGCGAUAAGUGUUCCGCCUGGGGAGUACGGCCGCAAGGCUAAAACUCAAAAGAAUUGACGGGGGCCCGCACAAGCAGCGGAGCAUGUUCUUUAAUUCGAUGCAACGCGAAGAACCUUACCUGGACUUGACAUGGUGCUGCAAGCGCACGGAAACGUGUGACCUUCGAGGGUGCACCACAGAUGCUGCAUGGCUGUCGUCAGCUCGUGUCGUGAGAUGUUGGGUUAAGUCCCGCAACGAGCGCAACCCCCGUGGCGUGUUGCCAGCAUUAAGUUGGGGACUCACGCCAGACUGCCGGUGACAAACCGGAGGAAGGGUGGGGACGACGUCAAGUCAUCAUGGCUCUACGUCCAGGGCUAGAAACGUGCUACAAUGGCAUGUACAAAGGGUUGCAAGCCGCGAGGUGGAGCGAAUCCCAUCAAAGCAUGUCUAAGUUCCGGAUCGCAGUCUGCACUCGUACUGCGUGAAGGCU